Molecule: ribosomal RNA, 465 nt
Filed under: uncultured bacterium
Lineage: Bacteria
Description: partial 16S ribosomal RNA
Rfam family: Bacterial small subunit ribosomal RNA
Source: RNAcentral
CCUACGUGAGGCAGCAGUGGGGAAUAUUGCGCAAUGGGCGAAAGCCUGACGCAGCGACGCCGCGUGAGGGAUGAAGGUCUUCGGAUCGUAAACCUCUGUCAGCAGGGAAGAACGGUCACUGUGCUAAUCAGCAGUGAAUUGACGGUACCUGCAAAGGAAGCACCGGCUAACUCCGUGCCAGCAGCCGCGGUAAUACGGAGGGUGCGAGCGUUAAUCGGAAUUACUGGGCGUAAAGCGCUCGUAGGCGGUAUGUCAAGUCAAGGGUGAAAUCCCCGCGCUCAACGUGGGAACUGCCUUUGAAACUGGCAAACUGGAGUGUGUGAGAGGAUAGUGGAAGUCCAGGUGUAGGAGUGAAAUCCGUAGAUAUCUGGAGGAACAUCAGUGGCGAAGGCGACUAUCUGGCACAUAACUGACGCUGAGGAGCGAAAGCGUGGGUAGCAAACAGGAUUAGAUACCCCAGUAGUC